UAAACAGAAAGUGUCCUAGUCUGAUGUGA
Molecule: non-coding RNA, 29 nt
Filed under: Homo sapiens (human)
Lineage: Eukaryota; Metazoa; Chordata; Mammalia; Primates; Hominidae
Source: RNAcentral